RNAcentral lists this ribosomal RNA (469 nucleotides) under uncultured bacterium. RNAcentral describes it as "bacterial SSU rRNA". It matches the Rfam family "Bacterial small subunit ribosomal RNA", at positions 33 to 507 of the family's 1533-position model. The record is from RNAcentral.
GACACGCUGGCGGCGUGCUUAACACAUGCAAGUCGAACGGAUCACAUUGCUUCGGUUUUGUGGUGAGUGGCGAACGGGUGAGUAACACGUGAGUAACCUGCCCCCUUCUUUGGGAUAACGUCGGGAAAUCGGCGCUAAUACUGGAUAUUCUGGUUUCCUCGCAUGGGGUUUCUGGGAAAGGUUUUCUGGUGGGGGAUGGGCUCGCGGCCUAUCAGCUUGUUGGUGGGGUGAUGGCCUACCAAGGCGGUGACGGGUAGCCGGCCUGAGAGGGUGUCCGGCCACACUGGGACUGAGACACGGCCCAGACUCCUACGGGAGGCAGCAGUGGGGAAUAUUGCACAAUGGGCGCAAGCCUGAUGCAGCGACGCCGCGUGAGGGAUGACGGCCUUCGGGUUGUAAACCUCUUUCAGUACAGAACAAGGCCUUCGGGUUGAGGGUAUGUGCAGAAGAAGCGCCGGCUAACUACGUG